CUCGGUGGCGGCCACAUCUACCCCGUAGUCUACGAGCUGCAGCCCAUCGGGAAAGGUCCAGAGAUGAAUGGGCAUGUACAUGAGAGAAACAAACUGAGCACCAUUUAAGUUCACUAUCUCCUACAUGAGCAAAGGGAUCAUGACAUAAAAUUAAUCAAUAUCACAGUACAGGAGAACACAUUUUUAAUUUCUAAGACUGCAUUCUCCUUCACUAAGCUCAGUAAACAACAUCACCUAACAAAUGUUGGGGUAUUACAAGUCCAGCUAUCAUUAGCUGGAACAAAGGUUUAAAUGUCAAGAGACGCCUCUGCACAUGAUAUACCAGGGAAUUUAUUGUUGUUGUGGAGUUCUUCACGUAAACUCAUAGAUACUGCUAGUAAAUGUGAUCCAGAUUAGCUAAUCGCAACCAUGUAAGCUUAGUUUCUGAUAAUGCCAUACUUGUCAGUGCCAAACAUGACAGUUUCUUCUUAAACUUCUCAUUGUACACUACAUAUAUUUUUUAGCUACAGCUUGGGAUUUUGCAAGUUAAUGGUUACUACUGUAAAAUAGUGAAGAGGAAAACUCAAGUAGCAAACACAAAGCCUGACAGACCAUAUAUAAUGGUAGCAUGAAUUUGACAGCAGUGACAACAACUAGAAUGGGCAAAUGCAAAAAAUAAAUGCACAUCGAUGUCCUCAAGCUUUCCUCGUCCCCUUAGCUCCUUGUUGCUGGACUUCAUCGCAUUCAUGUGGACAAACAAAGGCGAACUUAAAUGGUACAGGGAAGAAGCUUCAGAAGGUAUAUAGUGGCAUAAA
This 794-nucleotide long non-coding RNA is filed under the name Triticum aestivum (bread wheat). Its description in RNAcentral is "long non-coding RNA (TAES_LNC015449)". Lineage: Eukaryota; Viridiplantae; Streptophyta; Magnoliopsida; Poales; Poaceae. The record is from RNAcentral.